AUGCUUUUACACUAGUCGUUGAAUGGCAAACAUUCUCAUCAACCUAUAAAGAAAAGAGAAUAUAUAAGAAAAUGAAAAGAUGAAUAAGUCAUGAGGAAAAUUCAUCAUAAUCUACAACAUAAACCAAGAAACACAAGUGAAGGAGAAGCAGAUAAAUCCACACUCUCACAGUUGAAUCCAAAAGUUUCAGGAAAACCGGGUGUCACUCCAGUCCAUCCCAAAAGUCAAGUACACAUGUUAUAAACAGUACAAAAUCACAAGUAUGUCACAAAUAAUUGAACAGAACCGGACAAUGUUGCCCAUAAACCACAAUCUCAACUUACAUGCUAGAUUCACAAAACGAGAUCUCANNN
RNAcentral lists this long non-coding RNA (353 nucleotides) under Capsella grandiflora. RNAcentral's name for it is "long non-coding RNA (CGRA_LNC001175)". Lineage: Eukaryota; Viridiplantae; Streptophyta; Magnoliopsida; Brassicales; Brassicaceae. The record is from RNAcentral.